Molecule: ribosomal RNA, 379 nt
Filed under: uncultured eukaryote
Lineage: Eukaryota
Description: partial 18S ribosomal RNA
Rfam family: Eukaryotic small subunit ribosomal RNA
Source: RNAcentral
CAAUAGCGUAUAUUUAAGUUGUUGCAGUUAAAAAGCUCGUAGUUGGAUUUCGGAUGGGACUUGCCGGUCCGUCGUUUCGAUGUGCACUGGCCAGUCCUAUCUUGUUGUCGGGGACUAGCUCCUGGGCUUCACUGUCCGGGACUAGGAGCUGACGAGGUUACUUUGAGUAAAUUAGAGUGUUCAAAGCAAGCCUACGCUCUGAAUACAUUAGCAUGGAAUAACACGAUAGGACUCUGGCUUAUCUUGUUGGUCUGUGAGACCAGAGUAAUGAUUAAGAGGGACAGUCGGGGGCAUUCGUAUUUCAUUGUCAGGGGUGAAAUUCUUGGAUUUAUGAAAGACGAACUUCUGCGAAAGCAUUUGUCAAGGAUGUUUUCAUUAA